Phyllostomus discolor (pale spear-nosed bat) is the source of this 83-nucleotide long non-coding RNA. RefSeq lists it as uncharacterized. The record is from RefSeq and is a predicted model, not a curated record. The transcript is spliced from 3 exons. NCBI's taxonomy places the organism in Eukaryota, Metazoa, Chordata, Mammalia, Chiroptera, Phyllostomidae.
GGGCAGGCUGUUCUGCCUGCUCUCCACGGUCGUCACCUCCGCCCACGUCACCUGCAAGCCGGUCCUGAGCGGAGAGAGGCUAG